AAUUCUGAGGGGACAUGAUAGCUGCCUGGGUGGGUGUCCCCUUCCUCCCUCACCACUCCAUGUGCAUCCCUCCCGAAGCUGCACGCUUGGUCGAAGACAACGGCCUUCCCCGAAUAGAGACAGACCAGUCUUUGGUCGAGGGUAUAAGAGUAGCUGCGCUCCCCUGCUCGUACCUCCAAACAAGCUCAUAUUAUACAUCAAAUGUAAAUUAUAAAUAAACACAUCACACUUUUUUUCCCAUGAAAGAUGAGAAGAUG
This 257-nucleotide small nuclear RNA is filed under the name Sorex araneus (European shrew). RNAcentral describes it as "7SK RNA (ENSSARG00000019376.1)". It matches the Rfam family "7SK RNA", at positions 39 to 331 of the family's 331-position model. Rfam says of the family: 7SK was discovered as an abundant small nuclear RNA in the mid-70s but a possible function has only recently been suggested. Two independent studies have found that 7SK RNA binds the CDK9/cyclin T complex (known as elongation factor P-TEFb). Lineage: Eukaryota; Metazoa; Chordata; Mammalia; Eulipotyphla; Soricidae. The record is from RNAcentral.